GGCCCCAUCGUCUAGUCCGGUCCAGGACGUCAGGUUCUCAUCCUGAAAACCGGGGUUCGAAUCCCCGUGGGGUCG
Molecule: transfer RNA, 75 nt
Filed under: Phycisphaerae bacterium
Lineage: Bacteria; Pseudomonadati; Planctomycetota; Phycisphaerae
Description: tRNA-Glu
Rfam family: tRNA
About the family: Transfer RNA (tRNA) molecules are approximately 80 nucleotides in length.
Source: RNAcentral